GGACGGGUGAGUAAUGUCUGGGAAACUGCCUGAUGGAGGGGGAUAACUACUGGAAACGGUAGCAAUACCGCAUAACGUCGCAAGACCAAAGAGGGGGACCUUCGGGCCUCUUGCCAUCGGAUGUGCCCAGAUGGGAUUAGCUAGUAGGUGGGGUAACGGCUCACCUAGGCGACGAUCCCUAGCUGGUCUGAGAGGAUGACCAGCCACACUGGAACUGAGACACGGUCCAG
RNAcentral lists this ribosomal RNA (230 nucleotides) under uncultured bacterium. Its description in RNAcentral is "partial 16S ribosomal RNA". It matches the Rfam family "Bacterial small subunit ribosomal RNA", at positions 100 to 334 of the family's 1533-position model. The record is from RNAcentral.